RNAcentral lists this unclassified non-coding RNA (253 nucleotides) under uncultured Flavobacteriales bacterium. RNAcentral's name for it is "contains 16S-23S intergenic spacer region". It matches the Rfam family "Bacterial small subunit ribosomal RNA", at positions 524 to 776 of the family's 1533-position model. Lineage: Bacteria; Pseudomonadati; Bacteroidota; Flavobacteriia; Flavobacteriales. The record is from RNAcentral.
UACGGAGGGUCCAAGCGUUAUCCGGAAUCAUUGGGUUUAAAGGGUUCGCAGGCGGUUUAAUAAGUCAGUGGUGAAAUCCCGUAGCUCAACUACGGAACUGCCAUUGAUACUGUUGAACUUGAAUAUAGUUGGAGUAGGCGGAAUGUGUAGUGUAGCGGUGAAAUGCUUAGAUAUUACACAGAACACCGAUAGCGAAGGCAGCUUACUAAACUAAGAUUGACGCUCAUGAACGAAAGCGUGGGGAGCGAACAGG